CUCCUCCUCAGAGCCCACCUGCUCAGCCUCUGGCUCCGUCCCACCUUCACCCUGGGGCUCUCCCUGCUCCUCUGUUGGUGGCUGCCCCUCCACCACUUGGGGCUGUUCCUUGGGCUCCAACAGCUCAGGGCUCCUCUCUGGAGGCACCGGGGUUUUGGCGGCGUCCUCCUCAGUAGAGUCACGGUCCAGCCCAAACGUCAUCUCGUUGUACAGGUCGAGCUCCUCA
Molecule: long non-coding RNA, 226 nt
Filed under: Gallus gallus (chicken)
Lineage: Eukaryota; Metazoa; Chordata; Aves; Galliformes; Phasianidae
Source: RNAcentral